This 460-nucleotide ribosomal RNA is filed under the name uncultured bacterium. RNAcentral's name for it is "partial 16S ribosomal RNA". It matches the Rfam family "Bacterial small subunit ribosomal RNA", at positions 338 to 795 of the family's 1533-position model. The record is from RNAcentral.
CCUACGGGAGGCAGCAGUGAGGAAUAUUGGUCAAUGGGCGCUAGCCUGAACCAGCCAAGUAGCGUGAAGGGUGACUGCCCUAUGGGUUGUAAACUUCUUUUAUAGGGGAAUAAAGUGCAGUAUGUAUACUGCUUUGCAUGUACCUUAUGAAUAAGGAUCGGCUAACUCCGUGCCAGCAGCCGCGGUAAUACGGAGGAUCCGAGCGUUAUCCGGAUUUAUUGGGUGUAAAGGGAGCGUAGGCGGGUUGAUAAGUCAGUUGUGAAAGUUUGCGGCUCAACCGUAAAAUUGCAUUUGAUACUGGCAUCCUUGAGUACAGUAGAGGUAGGCGGAAUUCGUGGUGUAGCGGUGAAAUGCUUAGAUAUCACGAAGAACACCGAUGGCGAAGGCAGCCUGCUGGACUGUAACUGACGCUGAGGCGCGAAAGUGUGGGUAGCAAACAGGAUUAGAUACCCGGGUAGUC